Molecule: ribosomal RNA, 465 nt
Filed under: uncultured bacterium
Lineage: Bacteria
Description: partial 16S ribosomal RNA
Rfam family: Bacterial small subunit ribosomal RNA
Source: RNAcentral
GACGAACGCUGGCGGCGUGCUUAACACAUGCAAGUCGAACGGAAAGGCCCCCUUGUGGGGUACUCGAGUGGCGAACGGGUGAGUAACACGUGAGUAACCUACCCUUGACUUUGGGAUAACUUCAGGAAACUGGGGCUAAUACCGGAUAGGAGCUCCUGCUGCAUGGUGGGGGUUGGAAAGUUUCGGCGGUUGGGGAUGGACUCGCGGCUUAUCAGCUUGUUGGUGGGGUAGUGGCUCACCAAGGCUUUGACGGGUAGCCGGCCUGAGAGGGUGACCGGCCACAUUGGGACUGAGAUACGGCCCAGACUCCUACGGGAGGCAGCAGUGGGGAAUAUUGCACAAUGGGCGGAAGCCUGGUGCAGCAACGCCGCGUGCGGGAUGACGGCCUUCGGGUUGUAAACCGCUUUCGCCUGUGACGAAGCGUGAGUGACGGUAAUGGGUAAAGAAGCACCGGCUAACUACGUG